AUUGAACGCUGGCGGUAGGCCUAACACAUGCAAGUCGGACGGUAGCACAGAGGAGCUUGCUCCUCGGGUGACGAGUGGCGGACGGGUGAGCAAUGUCUGGGGAUCUGCCCGAUAGAGGGGGAUAACCACUGGAAACGGUGGCUAAUACCGCAUAACGUCGCAAGACCAAAGAGGGGGACCUUCGGGCCUCUCACUAUCGGAUGAACCCAGAUGGGAUUAGCUAGUAGGCGGGGUAACGGCCCACCUAGGCGACGAUCCCUAGCUGGUCUGAGAGGAUGACCAGCCACACUGGAACUGAGACACGGUCCAGACUCCUACGGGAGGCAGCAGUGGGGAAUAUUGCACAAUGGGCGCAAGCCUGAUGCAGCCAUGCCGCGUGUAUGAAGAAGGCCUUCGGGUUGUAAAGUACUUUCAGCGGGGAGGAAGGCGAUGUGGUUAAUAACCGCAUUGAUUGACGUUACCCGCAGAAGAAGCACCGGCUAACUCCGUGCCAGCCGCCGCGGUAA
RNAcentral lists this ribosomal RNA (506 nucleotides) under uncultured bacterium. RNAcentral describes it as "partial 16S ribosomal RNA". It matches the Rfam family "Bacterial small subunit ribosomal RNA", at positions 29 to 523 of the family's 1533-position model. The record is from RNAcentral.